Eufriesea mexicana is the source of this 721-nucleotide long non-coding RNA. RefSeq lists it as uncharacterized. NCBI's taxonomy places the organism in Eukaryota, Metazoa, Arthropoda, Insecta, Hymenoptera, Apidae. The record is from RefSeq and is a predicted model, not a curated record. The transcript has 2 exons.
AUUUGGAAUUAUAAAAUCUCAGGACAUUUUGUUAUACAAUGAUCUGUGCUUCGGGCACUUUGGAGGUUGAUUCCGCCACUGCGAGGUCCCGGGAUCUCCGAAUCGAGACACUUUGCGGAACGCAAUUUAGGAAAGAAUUCUAAGUAAGUUAAAGAUAAGAAUUCUCCACUAACUGGUAUUAUCCUAGAUCUUCGCACUCCAUGGUAUCCUGAUGCCGCGACUCCAAAAACUUUUCGCAAAUAUUAAGCGAUCUACGCCUGGGGUUGGAAGACUAGAUUUGGAGCCUUGACCUUCGAUUCGCAAUUCAUCCGAUUUAACGAUACAACGGGUCCACGUACGAAUAGUCGGUGGAAAUUUAUGAUUUUUGAACGUCGAACACGAGGAUUCUAUUUAAAGUCGAGAUCCUAUGUGGGCAGGGUAAAGCUCAUGGAAAGUACCGAUAAAUCUAUCGAUUCGCGUUUCGUGCUAUGUAUUUUCGUUUCGAGAGUUCGAAAGCCUUUCAGAAGCGCGCGAUGAUUCGUAUUUUGGACGAGAGAUUUGUCAAUACUGUCUAUAACCUCAUUAGAGAUUCCGUGAAUUUUUACUUGCGACUGACUGCCUCUUAAUGCGUUGGCAUUUAUAUAUGAGAUAACAAAAUGUGUGGAGAUAAAAAAAGGCUAUCAAGAUUGCUCUGUAAAGAAGUCGUUAAAACUCUAUGUCAUCGAGUGUCAUUCGACGUAGA